This 491-nucleotide ribosomal RNA is filed under the name uncultured bacterium. RNAcentral describes it as "partial 16S ribosomal RNA". It matches the Rfam family "Bacterial small subunit ribosomal RNA", at positions 29 to 506 of the family's 1533-position model. The record is from RNAcentral.
AGUGAACGCUGGCGGUAGGCCUAACACAUGCAAGUCGAACGGCAGCACAGUAAGAGCUUGCUCUUACGGGUGGCGAGUGGCGGACGGGUGAGGAAUACAUCGGAAUCUACUUUUUCGUGGGGGAUAACGUAGGGAAACUUACGCUAAUGCCGCAUACGACCUACGGGUGAAAGCAGGGGAUCUUCGGACCUUGCGCGAUUGAAUGAGCCGAUGUCGGAUUAGCUAGUUGGCGGGGUAAAGGGCCACCAAGGCGACGAUCCGUAGCUGGUCUGAGAGGAUGAUCAGCCACACUGGAACUGAGACACGGUCCAGACUCCUACGGGAGGCAGCAGUGGGGAAUAUUGGACAAUGGGCGCAAGCCUGAUCCAGCCAUACCGCGUGGGUGAAGAAGGCCUUCGGGUUGUAAAGCCCUUUUGUUGGGAAAGAAAAGCAGCAGGUUAAUACCCCGCUGUUCUGACGGUACCCAAAGAAUAAGCACCGGCUAACUUCGU